This 82-nucleotide ribosomal RNA is filed under the name Ochotona princeps (American pika). The record is from RNAcentral. Lineage: Eukaryota; Metazoa; Chordata; Mammalia; Lagomorpha; Ochotonidae.
GUCUACGGCCAUACCACUCUGAACGCACCCGAUCUCGUCUGAUCUCGGAAGAUGGAUGAGGAGAAAGUACUUGCCACUGAUA